CUACAAACAGGACAUGGGCUCUGCAAAUCAGAUGUGCUUUCUCAUUUGGAACAAGGAGAAGAAGUGUGGAGAGAAGUAAUAGGAUUUCCACAAAACCAGAGUCCAGGCAGAAAAGGUGCCUUUAAAAAACAAGAAGUGAUAGUCACCCAAGCUAUCUGUAGGAAACAUGCGUCAACCAUCAUAUCAUUGGUAAGCUUCAUUGUGUGAAUGCUAGUUUUCCAAAUAAAUACCACGGAGUGGAAUAAAUUAGG
Molecule: long non-coding RNA, 251 nt
Filed under: Dasypus novemcinctus (nine-banded armadillo)
Lineage: Eukaryota; Metazoa; Chordata; Mammalia; Cingulata; Dasypodidae
Description: lncRNA (ENSDNOG00000051612.1)
Source: RNAcentral